RNAcentral lists this ribosomal RNA (255 nucleotides) under Clostridioides difficile. Its description in RNAcentral is "partial 16S ribosomal RNA". It matches the Rfam family "Bacterial small subunit ribosomal RNA", at positions 167 to 422 of the family's 1533-position model. Lineage: Bacteria; Bacillati; Bacillota; Clostridia; Peptostreptococcales; Peptostreptococcaceae. The record is from RNAcentral.
UACGGGAUAAUAUAUUUGAGAGGCAUCUCUUGAAUAUCAAAGGUGAGCCAGUACAGGAUGGACCCGCGUCUGAUUAGCUAGUUGGUAAGGUAACGGCUUACCAAGGCGACGAUCAGUAGCCGACCUGGGAGGGUGAUCGGCCACAUUGGAACUGAGACACGGUCCAAACUCCUACGGGAGGCAGCCGUGGGGAAUAUUGCACAAUGGGCGAAAGCCUGAUGCAGCAACGCCGCGUGAGUGAUGAAGGCCUUCGGG